This 522-nucleotide ribosomal RNA is filed under the name uncultured bacterium. RNAcentral describes it as "bacterial SSU rRNA". It matches the Rfam family "Bacterial small subunit ribosomal RNA", at positions 34 to 518 of the family's 1533-position model. The record is from RNAcentral.
CGCUGGCGGCGUGCCUAAUACAUGCAAGUCGAGCGCGGGAAGCGGACUCGUCACCCUUCGGGGUGUCUAGUCCGUGGAACGAGCGGCGGAUGGGUGAGUAUCACGUGGGCAACCUGCCUGUAAGAUUGGGAUAACUCGCGGAAACGUGAGCUAAUACCGAAUGAAGUCUUUCACCACCUGGUGAAAGGAUGAAAGAUGGCUUUUAGCUAUCACUUACAGAUGGGCCCGCGGCGCAUUAGCUAGUUGGUGGGGUAAAGGCCUACCAAGGCGACGAUGCGUAGCCGACCUGAGAGGGUGAUCGGCCACACUGGGACUGAGACACGGCCCAGACUCCUACGGGAGGCAGCAGUAGGGAAUCUUCCGCAAUGGACGAAAGUCUGACGGAGCAACGCCGCGUGAAGUGAUGAAGGUCUUCGGAUCGUAAAACUCUGUUGUCAGGGAAGAACAAGUUGUGUUCUAACAGGACAUGACCUUGACGGUACCUGACCAGAAAGCCCCGGCUAACUACGUGCCAGCCGCCGC